Molecule: long non-coding RNA, 396 nt
Filed under: Elaeis guineensis (African oil palm)
Lineage: Eukaryota; Viridiplantae; Streptophyta; Magnoliopsida; Arecales; Arecaceae
Description: long non-coding RNA (EGUI_LNC050921)
Source: RNAcentral
GGACAAGAGUUGUCCACUUAUCGGUUGACCCAUCACCAAUAACUGUUAGGUGAGGUGGUGAGCCAGUCGGUGAGACCACACCACCCACUAAAAAUCACUAAUCAUGGAGAUUUUCACAUCUCUACCUAGGGAGUGUAGUGAUCUGAGAAAAUAGUGGGAGCCUAAUUUGUUUAAAAAUGAAACUCCUAAAUAAAUUGGUUAAGUCUGAUAACAAAAUCUAACUAAAAAUUUUUGACUCUCUACAGGAGACAUGUCUGCAUCCAAACCCCUAACCAAAAUACUAGACACCCACAGAUUGACUAGACCCAAUUUUAAGGACUGAUUGAGGAACUACAGAAUUAUUCUAGAUUUUGAGAAACUGGCUCAUAUCUUGGACCAGGACCCACCUGCCAUGCC